AAAGGGGAAAUGCGGCCUGCUCCCCACUCAGUGCCACUCCGUGCCAGGCCCUGAGGGCACCCGGUUGCUGCUUCCUUCCGUCUUUCCCCAAGGACUAUCAGAGGCAGGUGGCUGGGCCAGGGGGUGGGUCGGGGGGAGGUCUGGCCAUGUGGUAGGGUGAUAGGACUGAGGGGCCCCAGGGAGCUGGCUGCAGGGCAGUUUGUUUCUCCUGAUGGAGAAUGCUCCCUGGUGGGUGGGGCGAUGGGCUGGGGACUGGUUUGCUCAUGGGGACAGAGAUCAGAAGUGGGCUUGAGAAGAACAGGGCCAGAAGGCCUGGGCUCUGGCCCCAGCCUAGCCCCUGAUUUGUGCAGGGUGGCUUUGGGCAAGUCACUAAGUCACUGUCCAGACUGGGCCCUCAGCCUUCCUGUCUACCCAAUGGAGGGUCUUUCUGUCCACCUGGGAACAGCCUGAUGGGACUGAAGCACAGCCCUUAGUUUCCAGAUGAGAAUUCUGGACUGGAGGCCCUGACAUUACAAUUGCCAACACUGACUCUGGUGUUUGGCAAAAUUUGGGGUAUGUGGGAAACACGUGCUGCUGGUUGAGGUCCUUAACUUCAGAAUUUCCCUCUAGAUCAAUGCUUUUGAAAGCAUUAACUCCAACACCACCAUCUUCUGUAGGAGCUUUCCAGCUUUUCCAGCUUUUCCAGCAUAUGCUCCUGAUCUGUUACUCAGGCAUGCUGGUUAUCCCAUUUCAUAGGUGGACACCUUGAGGCCUAAAGGUUGGUGACUGGCUGUACCUGACACCCUGUGUGAUUCUAGGUUGCCCCUUGCUCCUCUCUGGGCCUUAGCCUUUCUGUCUAUGCAGUGGGGAUUUCAGAUUGCUGUUUUUUCAGAGUCUGAGAGGGCCCUUGUGUGGAGUCACCUCUGAGCUGCAGGCAGGAUUUCCAGGGCAAGAAGGCCACAGCGUCAGCAGGCACCUGUCUUUGGCCUGUGAGCCAUAGCCUAAGGCGUGCCCUUCCCGACCUUGGCCAGAUCACGCUAGAGUCCUCUGAGGCCUCCCCUCCCUUGCCCAGCCACCUUCUCCACUCUGCGGGGCUCCACUUUCACUUUCACGCUCCCAGGCUGUGGCUCUUACCCGUGCCGCGCUUUCACAUCCGCUCACAUCUGUGCUCCCAGAUGCCAGCGUGACCCCUGACAUGUGUGUGCAGCAACCUGCAGCUGCCCCAAGCCAUGGCUGAACACUGACUCCCAGCCGUGGGGCUUCACCAUUACAGACUCCCCGGGGCUUCAAAGACUUCUCAGCUUCGAGCAUGGCCUUUUGGGUGUCAGGGCAGCUGUACAAUAGUGGAUGUUUGAGACGGAGGCAGAUGAGAAGAGGGAGAUGCCCUUGGAGGAAGGGAAGGGGCCUGGUGCCGAGGAUUCCCCACCCAGCAAGGAGCCCUCUCCUGGCCAGGAGCUUCCUCCAGGACAAGACCUUCCACCCAACAAGGAUUCCCCUUCUGGGCAGGAACCCGCUCCCGGCCAAGAACCACUGUCCAGCAAAGACUCAGCUACCUCUGAAGGAUCCCCUCCAGGCCCAGACGCUCCGCCCAGCAAGGAUGCGCCACCAUGCCAGGAACCCCCUCCAGCCCAAGACCUCUCACCCUGCCAGGACCUGCCUGCUGGUCAAGAACCCCUGCCUCACCAGGACCCUCUACUCACCAAAGACCUCCCUGCCAUCCAGGAAUCCCCCACCCAGGACCCUCCACCCUGUCAAGAUCUGCCUCCUAGCCAGGUCUCUCUGCCGGCCAAGGCCCUUACUGAGGACACCAUGAGCUCCGGGGACCCACUAGCAGCUACCGGGGACCCACCUGCGGCCUCCAGGCCAGCCUUUGUGAUCCCCGAGGUCCGGCUGGAUAGCACCUACAGCCAGAAGGCAGGGGCAGAGCAGGGCUGCUCGGGAGAUGAGGAGGAUGCAGAAGAGGCCGAGGAGGUGGAGGAGGGGGAGGAAGGGGAGGAGGACGAGGAUGAGGACACCAGCGAUGACAACUACGGAGAGCGCAGUGAGGCCAAGCGCAGCAGCAUGAUCGAGACGGGCCAGGGGGCUGAGGGUGGCCUCUCACUGCGUGUGCAGAACUCGCUGCGGCGCCGGACACACAGCGAGGGCAGCCUGCUGCAGGAGCCCCGAGGGCCCUGCUUCGCCUCCGACACCACCUUGCACUGCUCAGACGGUGAGGGUGCCGCCUCCACCUGGGGCAUGCCUUCGCCCAGCACCCUCAAGAAAGAGCUGGGCCGCAAUGGUGGCUCCAUGCACCACCUUUCCCUCUUCUUCACAGGACACAGGAAGAUGAGCGGGGCUGACACUGUUGGGGAUGAUGACGAAGCCUCCCGGAAGAGAAAGAGCAAAAACCUGUACGUUGGGAAGAUCCCUGGCUUCUGCGCUCCUCUUCCUCCCUUGCCCCAGGGCUUGUCUCUCCUCUAGGGGUCAAGCUGGGGAGAAGAGGUUGUGCCUGGUCCCGCACACAACCCCAGACAGACACCAAGGAAAAACUGGAUCUUGGAACUUUGCAGUGACCCCAAAGUGGGGUCACCUGGGUCCUAAGCAUUCUCUCCAAGUGAUGCAAAGUGCUGAUUCAGUACCGGGAAGCCACAGUGAACCAGAGGCAACCAGCCCAGUUGCCCUGGCUUUAGCCCAGCUUCUGAGCCAAGCAGGGACCAAGUGACUUCAACAACUCCUUUGCUCCCUCUGGGCCCACGAGUGACCUGAGAAAGGGUGGAACUGACAGUCAUGGGGCUCUUCUUUCUCUUCCUGAGCUCCUGAAUGCUAAUAGUCUCAGGCGUUGCCGGGAGGGGGCGCUGCUGGCCCAACUGCCGAAUCCCGCACUCCCUAAGCCUUUCUGGCCACACUCAGGCCUUCUUAUACUAUGGGGUGUUUGUUAGAGGUGUCAAUGAAAACGAUGUGUGUGUGGGUUCUCAGGUCUCCUUCUACCCCCAGGCCUAAGGCCCUGGAGACUCGGGGGAGGUAUAGGGAGGAGGCAGUGGGGUGCAUGCACAGUGACCCCCGCAGAGGAAGCCCCUCCCCACCAGGUCCUCUAGCACCCACCACUAGGCAGGAAUUGGGCUAUGGGGAGGAGCCUCCUGCAACCCUCUUCCCUGCCCUUGACCUUGGGUGGGGUCCACUACCCUAGAAAGCCUUCCUCACCCCAGCUGCCUUGACCUCUCCAGUUUUCUGCAGCAACUGUUGGCUUCUCUUAGUCCACAGCCAAUUGCACUUUGUUAGCAAGGUGAAAUGCAUAAACCAAAACAGUCCCUUGCACCAACCAUCUUCACUUAACCUUUUGUAGGAUGAGAGAGGAUCCAGGGGGUGCCAGGACUGUUGAAUAUGGCACUGGAAGUGGGAGGUGUAGGGAAGCAGUGUGUGGCAGCAGAGGGCAGGCAUCCCGGGUGCUGGAGCAGCCCUGUCUAGCCUCCUUUCAAUGUAGGUGCUGCCUUUUGAAUUGCCUGAAGCCCACACAUUUUUUUUUUUUGGAGACAGAGUCUCCUUCUGUCACCCAGGCUGGAGUGCGAUCUUGGCUUGCUGCAACCUCCGCCUCCCAAGUUCAAGCAAUUCUUGUGCCUCAGCCUCCCAAGUAGCUGAGAUUACAGGUGUGUGCCAUCACACCCAGCAAAUUUUUUUUGUACUUUUAGUAGAGAUGGGGGUUUUGCCAUGUUGGCCAGACUGUUCUCAAACUCCUGGCCUCAAGUGAUCUUCCCGCCUCGGCCUCCCAAAGUGCUGGGAUUACAGACAUGAGCCACCACGCCUGGCCUCUGAAGCUCACACUCUUAAAAGCUUAGACGAGGAGUCUUAGGACAUCUAGGGUAAUAAUAAGAAUAACCAUUAAUGUUUAUUAUGCCAGGCACUGUACUGUGCAUAUUUCAUAUGUGAUCUAAUUUAAUCUUUACCACUACUUUUAUUUUCCGUUCCGUUCUUUCUUAUUGACCUUACCCUUAUUUUACACAUGAAUAAACUACUGUGCAAAGAG
This 3979-nucleotide small RNA is filed under the name Pongo abelii (Sumatran orangutan). RNAcentral describes it as "retained intron". The record is from RNAcentral. Lineage: Eukaryota; Metazoa; Chordata; Mammalia; Primates; Hominidae.